Small nucleolar RNA from Suncus etruscus (white-toothed pygmy shrew), 149 nucleotides. NCBI's taxonomy places the organism in Eukaryota, Metazoa, Chordata, Mammalia, Eulipotyphla, Soricidae. The record is from RefSeq and is a predicted model, not a curated record.
GCUGCACACUAUUAAAGCUCAGGGUAGAGGCCAGUUCUGGCCAAUGAACUUCUGAGUGUCGGAAGUGUGCUAUAUUAAGGCAGGAUUUUCGCUAACACCAGUAGAGUUCACCUCAAUGACUGGAGUUGAUAGUACUCGCUGCCACAUUC